AACGAACGCUGGCGGCGCGCUUAACACAUGCAAGUCGAACGAGAAGGCGUAGCAAUACGCUUGUACAGUGGCGAACGGGUGAGUAAUACGUGGGCGACCUACCCUCGAGUGGGGAAGUAACCCGCCGAAAGGCGGGCUAAUGCCGCGUACGCUUCCAUCUUUAUGGAGGUGGAAGGAAAGCCGUGCCGUGGGCACGGCGCUCAAGGAUGGGCUCACGUCCUAUCAGCUUGUUGGUAGGGAACGGCCUACCAAGGCUCCGACGGGUAGCUGGUCUGAGAGGACGAUCAGCCACACUGGCACUGCGACACGGGCCAGACUCCUACGGGAGGCAGCAGUGAGGAAUAUUGCACAAUGGGCGAAAGCCUGACGCAGCGACGCCGCGUGGGGGAGUGAA
Molecule: ribosomal RNA, 394 nt
Filed under: uncultured bacterium
Lineage: Bacteria
Description: bacterial SSU rRNA
Rfam family: Bacterial small subunit ribosomal RNA
Source: RNAcentral